CCUACGGGUGGCAGCAGUCGAGAAUCAUUCACAAUGGGGGAAACCCUGAUGGUGCGACGCCGCGUGGGGGAAUGAAGGUCUUCGGAUUGUAAACCCCUUUCAUGUGGGAGCAAAUUAAAAAGAUAGUACCACAAGAGGAAGAGACGGCUAACUCUGUGCCAGCAGCCGCGGUAAUACAGAGGUCUCAAGCGUUGUUCGGAAUCACUGGGCGUAAAGCGUGCGUAGGCUGUUUCGUAAGUCGUGUGUGAAAGGCGCGGGCUCAACCCGCGGACGGCACAUGAUACUGCGAGACUAGAGUAAGGGAGGGGGAACCGGAAUUCUCGGUGUAGCAGUGAAAUGCGUAGAUAUCGAGAGGAACACUCGUGGCGAAGGCGGGUUCCUGGACAUUAACUGACGCUGAGGCACGAAGGCCAGGGGAGCGAAAGAGAUUAGAUACCCUGGUAGUC
This 446-nucleotide ribosomal RNA is filed under the name uncultured bacterium. RNAcentral's name for it is "partial 16S ribosomal RNA". It matches the Rfam family "Bacterial small subunit ribosomal RNA", at positions 338 to 795 of the family's 1533-position model. The record is from RNAcentral.